AAUGCGCAUGCGCGAGGCGCGAGCGGUUUCUCCCGUCACAGUGGUUCCCACGGUUGUCUUAGAAACCAGACCCCGAGGCUUGGCAGAGCAGGAGCCCUCGGUGGCAGUGCUUGGGUGUCGAGGCUCUGAGGCUCCGGCCUCACCUCUCCACGGGGUCGAAGGGAACGUCUCCGGAUGCCAGGAGUCGCAAAGGGCCGACCAUGAUGAUGAAACCCCAGGCAGAGACGGGGGAAGCAGCACGGGAUCCCAGCCUCAGGCCUGCACGGACGGUGUUGGUUGGGAGACGAGGUCUCACUAUAUUGACCAGGCUGGUCUUGAACUCCUGGCCUUAAGCGAUCCUCCUGCCUUGGCCUCCCAAAGUGCUGGAGUUACAGAUGUGAGCCUCUGUGCUCAGUCCAUCCUUGGCUGUUCAAGUGUAGAGGGACACGGCUUCCCCUGAACGCGGAUCCUAGAGGCCAGGCAGAAGCAGCAUGGGUUUCCACUCACACGGUAGGCGGCUGUGCAAUUUCGUCUGGAGUCCCCAGACCCCUCCUCAUCCUUCCCAGGGUUGCUCUGAGGCCAUUCCUUGUCAUCUAGGAGGGGUCUACAUAAAAGCAUUUAUAAACACCUCCAAAUGGGAGCCAGGCGUGCCCACCUUUGGAGCACUUUUCUCUACUGCAAAUUUAUCUACUGCUCGUGAAAUCUCUGGAUUUAACUCUGAUGAAAGACUGGAGGCUGAAGGAGAACUUCAAUAUCAUAUAUUUUAAAGGUUGAUUCACAGUUUGGAGCAAGAAUUAAAGAACCACGAACUUCAAGGUAAAACGGGCAACGGCGUUGGGGCAAGCCUCUCUGCAUCUGCGUGUCCAGCCUCUCCUGCGUGCCAGAAGUUCCCAGGCAGGAGUGUGGUGGGACAUCCGGCUGGGGUGAUGUAAAAUUCUCAAACAAUGAGAUAGAUAAAAAGUACGCAGCCAAAAAGUUCAAGAAGAAGUGUUAUGGAGAUGGAGCAGGCCCUUCGUAAAAACACGAUGUUGGUUUUCUGGAUUUUGGAGGCCUCACAAAACCCGGAUCAGACUCGCCCACUGCCCUGUGUCUGCCCUCCCGACCGCCUCUCCUGCCCAGCAGGGAUGAGGGUGGCAGUGGUGCUGUGUGGAGGGUGGCGGGAGGACCUGGAAGACUGCGACCAGUGAGCCGGGAGGCCUUGGGACAGCCUCUCUCUGAAUCAUCCUGUGCACUGCCGGGUGUGACAGAGGCUCCUAGAAUCCUGUCUCAAGUGGCCGCCUUCACAGAGGGAGUCACUGACGUCCCUGCUCAGCGCAGCCCUGGCAUGUGGGGGUCCCUCUACUCAUGAGAAACCCCCACCCAAUCACCGUGAGGUGUGUGACCCAUGCUCACAUCCAGGGGCCACUCAUUCAUUCAGGAAACA
Long non-coding RNA from Homo sapiens (human), 1402 nucleotides. Ensembl annotates it as family with sequence similarity 27 member C. Its record names the gene FAM27C. The record is from Ensembl. NCBI's taxonomy places the organism in Eukaryota, Metazoa, Chordata, Mammalia, Primates, Hominidae.